Molecule: ribosomal RNA, 483 nt
Filed under: uncultured bacterium
Lineage: Bacteria
Description: partial 16S ribosomal RNA
Rfam family: Bacterial small subunit ribosomal RNA
Source: RNAcentral
GACGAACGCUGGCGGCGUGCUUGACACAUGCAAGUCGAACGGUGAAAGUGGAGCUUGCUCCGCUGGGUCAGUGGCGAACGGGUGAGUAACACGUGGGCAACCUGCCCCUGACUUCGGGAUAACUCCUCGAAAGAGGUGCUAAUACCGGAUACGAAUCCUGCAGGCAUCUGCGGGAUUGGAAAGUUUUUCGGUCAGGGAUGGGCCCGCGGCCUAUCAGCUUGUUGGUGAGGUCGUGGCUCACCAAGGCGACGACGGGUAGCCGGCCUGAGAGGGCGACCGGCCACACUGGGACUGAGACACGGGCCAGACUCCUACGGGGGGCAGCAGUGGGGAAUAUUGCGCAAUGGGCGAAAGCCUGACGCAGCAACGCCGCGUGAGGGAUGACGGCCUUCGGGUUGUAAACCUCUUUCAGCAGGGAAGAAGCGAAAGUGACGGUACCUGCAGAAGAAGCACCGGCUAACUACGUGCCAGCCGCCGCAGUAA